This 473-nucleotide ribosomal RNA is filed under the name uncultured bacterium. RNAcentral describes it as "SSU rRNA". It matches the Rfam family "Bacterial small subunit ribosomal RNA", at positions 26 to 518 of the family's 1533-position model. The record is from RNAcentral.
AGGACGAACGCUGGCGGCGUGCUUAACACAUGCAAGUCGAGCGGAAAGGCCCUUCGGGGUACUCGAGCGGCGAACGGGUGAGUAACACGUGAGUAAUCUGCCCCUAGCUCUGGGAUAGCUCCGGGAAACCGGGAUUAAUACCAGAUACGACCACUUUAGACAUCUUCUGUGGUGGAAAGAACUUCGGCUAGGGAUGAACUCGCGGCCUAUCAGCUUGUUGGUGAGGUAACGGCUCACCAAGGCGACGACGGGUAGCCGGCCUGAGAGGGCGACCGGCCACACUGGGACUGAGACACGGCCCAGACUCCUACGGGAGGCAGCAGUGGGGAAUAUUGCGCAAUGGGCGAAAGCCUGACGCAGCGACGCCGCGUGGGGGAUGAAGGCCUUCGGGUUGUAACCCCUUUCAGCAGGGACGAAGCGAAAGUGACGGUACCUGCAGAAGAAGCGCCGGCUAACUACGUGCCAGCAGCCGC